Lynx canadensis (Canada lynx) is the source of this 6722-nucleotide RNA transcript. It is a transcript of the gene named ABL proto-oncogene 1, non-receptor tyrosine kinase, with no coding region annotated. NCBI's taxonomy places the organism in Eukaryota, Metazoa, Chordata, Mammalia, Carnivora, Felidae. The record is from RefSeq and is a predicted model, not a curated record. The transcript is spliced from 12 exons.
GAGCAGCGCCGGAGCCGGAGCCGGUCCCCGGGUCCUGCGGCUGAGGAGCCCCUCGGUUGUCCACGGCCCCCACCUGCGGGGGGAGGCUGGGUCCCGCGGCGGAGCUCCGGGGAUGUGACUGCCUGGCGGCGGCGGCGGCUGUAACAACGUCCGGAGCCGGGGGAGGGGGUGUCUCGGGCAGAGACCCCUGGGCUCGGGGCAGCUGAGGCGGCCGGGCCUCCUCCCCCCUCCGCCCGCCUCCCGCCUUCGGGGCCGCGAGCGUGCUCUGUCCCGUACAGCCCUGCCCUGGCUCUGGGGCGCUGGGGGUGGUCUCUGUUUCCCCCCAGACCUGGGACACCCCGUUUCCUGAGGCGUGGAGGAGCGACGCCCCGGAGUAAGCCGCCCGUGCCCCGCCCCGGCAGCCUCCCCUUUACCCCCGAGCCGCCCCUCGCGCCCACUCCCGGCCCCGAGUUUGGCCUCGGAGCCCCCCCCCCCCGCCCCCCAUUCAUAUCCCCUCCCUGCUGUCAAGUGGCCUCCCCUUCCCCCCCCAGGUUGCUCCCGGGAGCCUCCAAUGCCUUGACCUCUUCCAAUGUCACCUACGGUCCCUUUAGUCUCAGCCCAGACAAAAACUUUAAUGCAGAGGAAAAGCCUGGACUGGUUUCACAGGCCUUUUAAAAAGCGGACUUAAAAGUUGCUGGCAAUGCAUUCCUUGUCAUCCGAGGCGAGGGCAAGCCCUCGCUGAAGUCUGGGUGACCCGUGUCGUUUUCCGGAGCGCAGGGUAGAGCAGCAGGAGCGGCAGCUAGUUUGGCAGGAAAUCUGUCGGAAGAUCAAGAAACUGAGACAGGAGGUAGGGUGGGCGAAGCAUCCAGAGGUGACCACCAUUUCCUUUCUGUGCGGGAAUCGAGAUGACUUUAGUGUUACUGACCCUUUUACAGCAUCCCUGUGAAUAUUUGUUUUCCUUCUUGGAGAGAAAGAAACUUACUCAGCCCGUGAAAGACACUCAAACCCAAGGAACUGUGGGGUCGCCCCGCAGUUGCAGGACUUCGAGUUGAUCGACCGCGGACAUCAUCGGAACUGCUGUUUACAUGUGUUCACUUGUGUUUGACCUCAGUGUACUGACUCGUGGCGAUUCGGUGAAUGUGAAAUCCCACGUAUGUACUGUUUCCUUCUAAGCCCGCUGACCAUUCUGGAGGAUCUCGAACCCUCUUCUGGAAAGGGGUGCCUAUCAUUACUUUAUGGGGCAGCAGCCUGGAAAAGUUCUUGGGGACCAGAGGAGGCCAAGCUUGCCUGCCCUGCACUUUAUCAAAGGAGCAGGGAAGAAGGAAUCAUCGAGGCACGGGGGUCCGCACUGCAAUGUCUUUGUGGAACACGAAGCCCUUCAGAGGCCAGUAGCGUCUGACUUUGAGCCCCAAGGUCUGAGCGAAGCAGCUCGUUGGAACUCCAAGGAAAACCUUCUUGCUGGUCCCAGUGAAAAUGACCCCAACCUUUUUGUUGCACUGUAUGAUUUUGUGGCCAGUGGGGAUAACACCCUAAGCAUCACUAAAGGUGAAAAGCUCCGGGUUUUAGGCUACAACCACAAUGGGGAAUGGUGUGAGGCCCAAACCAAAAAUGGCCAAGGGUGGGUCCCAAGCAACUACAUCACGCCGGUCAACAGUCUGGAGAAACAUUCCUGGUACCACGGGCCCGUGUCCCGCAAUGCCGCCGAGUACCUGCUGAGCAGUGGGAUCAACGGCAGCUUCUUGGUGCGGGAGAGCGAGAGCAGCCCCGGCCAGAGGUCCAUCUCGCUGAGAUACGAAGGGAGAGUGUACCACUACAGGAUCAACACUGCUUCUGAUGGCAAGCUCUACGUCUCCUCAGAGAGCCGCUUCAACACUUUGGCAGAGUUGGUUCAUCAUCACUCGACUGUGGCGGACGGGCUCAUCACCACUCUCCAUUACCCAGCCCCCAAGCGCAACAAGCCCACCGUCUACGGCGUGUCCCCCAACUACGACAAGUGGGAGAUGGAACGCACAGACAUCACCAUGAAGCACAAGCUGGGAGGCGGCCAGUACGGAGAGGUGUACGAGGGCGUGUGGAAGAAAUACAGCCUGACGGUGGCCGUGAAGACCUUGAAGGAGGACACCAUGGAGGUGGAAGAGUUCUUGAAAGAAGCCGCAGUGAUGAAGGAGAUCAAGCACCCCAACCUCGUGCAGUUGCUGGGGGUCUGCACCCGGGAGCCCCCGUUCUAUAUAGUCACUGAGUUCAUGACCUAUGGGAACCUGCUGGAUUACCUGCGGGAGUGUAACCGGCAGGAGGUGAAUGCUGUGGUGCUGCUGUACAUGGCCACGCAGAUCUCGUCAGCCAUGGAGUACCUGGAGAAGAAGAACUUCAUCCACAGAGAUCUUGCUGCCCGAAACUGCCUGGUAGGGGAGAACCACUUGGUGAAGGUGGCUGAUUUCGGCCUGAGCAGGUUAAUGACAGGGGAUACGUACACAGCCCACGCCGGGGCCAAGUUCCCCAUCAAGUGGACAGCGCCAGAAAGCCUGGCCUACAACAAGUUCUCCAUCAAGUCCGACGUCUGGGCAUUUGGAGUACUGCUUUGGGAAAUUGCUACCUACGGUAUGUCACCUUACCCAGGAAUUGACCUGUCCCAGGUAUACGAGCUGCUAGAGAAAGACUAUCGCAUGGAACGCCCGGAAGGCUGCCCAGAGAAGGUCUACGAACUCAUGCGAGCAUGUUGGCAGUGGAAUCCCUCCGACCGGCCCUCCUUUGCUGAAAUCCACCAAGCCUUUGAGACCAUGUUCCAAGAGUCCAGCAUAUCAGAUGAAGUGGAAAAGGAACUGGGGAAAAAAGGUGUGCGAGGGGUUGCGAGUACUUUGCUGCAGGCCCCAGAGCUGCCCACCAAGACGAGAACGUCCAGGAGAGCCGCGGAGCACAAAGACCCCACUGAGGUGCCCGAGACGCCCCACUCCAAGGGCCCAGGAGAGACUGAUCCUCUGGACCACGAGCCCCCUGUGUCUCCACUGCUCCCUCGAAAAGAACGAGGUCCCCAGGAUGGCGGCCUGAAUGAGGAUGAGCGCUUUCUUCCCAAAGACAAAAAGACCAACUUGUUCAGUGCCUUGAUCAAGAAGAAGAAGAAAACGGCCCCGACGCCCCCGAAACGCAGCAGCUCCUUCCGGGAGAUGGACGGCCAGCCCGAGCGCAAGGGGGCCGGCGAGGAAGAGGGCCGAGAAACCAGCAACGGGGCACCGGCUCUCACACCCUCAGACGCAGCCGAGCCAGGCAAGUCCCCAAAGCCCAGCAGCGGGGCUGGCGUCCCCAACGGAGCCUUCCGGGAGUCCGGGGGUGCAGGCUUCCGGUCUCCCCACCUGUGGAAAAAGUCCAGUACGCUCACCAGCAGCCGCCUAGCAGCCAGCGAGGAGGAGAGUGGCGGCAGCUCCAGCAAGCGCUUCCUGCGGUCCUGCUCGGCCUCCUGCGUGCCCCACGGAGCCAGGGACACCGAGUGGAGGUCCGUCACACUGCCUCGGGACCUGCAGUCCACGGGCAGGCAGUUCGACUCGUCCACGUUUGGAGGGCACAAAAGCGAGAAGCCGGCUCUGCCUCGGAAGCGGGCGAGUGAGAACAGGUCAGACCAGGCGACCAGAGGCACGGUGACUCCCCCACCCAGGCUGGUGAAAAAGACCGAGGAAGCAGCCGAUGAGGUCUUUCGAGACGCAGGGGAGUCCAGCCCGGGCUCCAGCCCCCCAAGUCUGACUCCAAAACUCCUCCGCAGGCAGGUCACGGGGGCUCCUUCCUCUGGCCUUCCCCACAAGGACGAGACCACCAAGUCCGGUGCCUUGGGGACACCUGUCGCAGCUGAGCCGGUGCCCCCCGCCAGCAGAGCAGGGCCAGGUGCGUCCGGAGGGACCGGCAAGGCCCCCGCCGAGGAGCCCAGAGCGAGGAGGCACAAGCCUUCCUCCGAGUCCCCAGGGAGAGACAAGGGGAAACUGUCCAAGCUCAAACCUGCCCCACCGCCCCCGCCGCCGGCCUCCGUGGGGAAAGCCGGGAAGCCCGCUCAGAACCCGACCCAGGAAGUGGCCGGGGAGGCCAGCACUGGCGGGAAAACGAAAGCCGCGGCUGUGGUCGUGGAUGCUGUGAACAGUGACGCCAUCAAGCCCAGUCCGCUGGGAGAGGGCGUCAAAAAGCCCGUGCUCCCAUCCGUGCCAAAGCCGCAGUCGUCCAGCAAGCCAGCGGGGGCCCCGGCCGGGGCGGCGCCCGCCCCCUCCACGUUGCCAUCAGCAGCCUCCGCCCUGGCCGGGGACCAGCCCGCGUCUACUGCCUUCAUCCCUCUCAUAUCGACCCGCGUGUCUCUUCGGAAAACCCGCCAGCCUCCGGAGCGGAUCGCCAGCGGCACCAUCACCAAGAGCGUGGUCCUGGACGGCACCGAGGCCCUGUGCCUGGCCAUCUCCAAGAACUCCGAGCAGAUGGCCAGCCAUAGUGCCGUGCUGGAAGCCGGCAAAAACCUGUACACGUUCUGCGUGAGCUAUGUGGAUUCCAUCCAGCAGAUGAGGAACAAAUUCGCCUUCCGCGAGGCCAUCAACAAACUGGAGAAUAAUCUCCGGGAGCUUCAGAUCUGCCCGGCAACAGCAGGGAGUGGCCCGGCGGCCACUCAGGACUUCAGCAAACUCCUCAGCUCCGUGAAGGAGAUCAGUGACAUCGUACAGAGGUAGCAGAAGCCGGGCAUGAGGCCGGCCGGAGCCGCCUGCAGUGUGUGAAGGCUUCCCCAUGCCUGCGACAGUGGCCGACACCAGACCAGUGAGUUGGGACCUUGGCCCGGGAGCGCUGCGCCACACGGAGCCAAGGGCCACUGUGGAACACAGCCCGACUACCUGUGUUUUGUGCCAACUGUCCCGCACUUCCCCCUCCCCCAGCCCGGGCUCCCUGAGUCGCCUCUGUCCCGAGUUCUAUCUGUGGAGUUCCUGCUCUGUGGACUCCGGUCGGCCCGCCGGCCUCCUCCCCACGUAGUGCUCCAGAACUGAGCUCUUCCGGCCAGGGGUGAAAGCAGAUGAGCGUAUCUCCUUUCCGCUGGUCUUUCUGGAGGCCCUCCUCUGGGGAUGCCUUCUCCUCCGCUUCCCGCAGGAAACGAGCGCCCUGAACAGGAGCCUUGUCACCGAGGCCCGAGGAACUGUCCUCCCCACCUACCCCAUGGGGGGAGCCGGCGCAGAAGACCCGUCUCCAGAACUACAUCCUGGGAAGCGCUUGCCAGCUGGUCACUCUGCCCUCCGUUGCUGCCGGGGGCUGGUGCCCUCACAUUGCCUCGUGUGAAGGACAGCUCUUGAUUUGGGGGGUGAAACGGGGUGCUAAAACCAGCCGGCCCUUGGGUCCUUGCUGUCUUGUGGCACUGCUCGGCCUGGAUGGAAAGCUGGAGUCUGAAGGGUAGGAGGGUCGCAGUCUGGCGUGCAGGGUCAGGGGAGGCAGGCAGGGUGGCUGGCUGGGGGAACAGCUGGUACCCAGAUGGCCCGGGGCUGGGCCCAGCCUACCUUCUUUUCAGGCUUCCAGGUGCCCAGAAAAGGCACUUGGUCUUGAUUUCUGACCGAUCUCCUUCUCCUCCCUUGUACUCCUCUGAGACCAAGCAGAUUCAUGCAGAGCUCUUUCCUGUGUGACAAGCCAACCUUUAGUUUUCCGGAGCAUUUCAUGGCUCUGAGCUCAGCCCAGUCGCCUCAGGCACAGGAGGACCAGCCGCCGGCGCACGGGAGGAGAAGGACUGUGGCACCAAAGCCCCAACCGUUGCUGGCUGUGCGCUAAGAGGCCAAUGUCCUGUUGAAUCGCCACGAGCAACAACACGCAGCCCACUGUUUCUGCUGGGGUUUUCAGGGAUGGAGAAAACCACAAACAUAUGAAGCCCAGAAAGUGUCUCCAAGAGCAGGCCUCGGUCUCCUCUCCCCAGGCUGCCCAGGACCAGGCUCUCCAGCCAGGGGCCCAGGCCGCCUUGACCUUGACCUAGAGCAGCUGCUGAAGGAGGGGGUCAGGCACCUGCCUGGGCCUCCUGCCGGGCCCAGGCGCCACCACCUUCCACCCCCAUACCCCCGUGACCUCACACCGGCCUCAUCACCCGAACUUAUUCUUUAUUUCUCUGGUAGAGAUGGUUCCCUCUGCAUCGAUUUGUGCUGUCCUCACAGCUCAUCACCUCUUUGCCCCCUCCCCCCCCCCCCAGACUUCUGUGUCACACAGACUGAGGGAGGUGCUAGAACACCACCAGCGGCCUUGCAGACAAAGCAAAACCGACCCCACCCAGGUCCCCUCGACCGCCUCUUUCUAUAAGACGAAGACCCCGGGAUGUGUUCCAUCCCCACCAGUCUGUCACAUUAGCAGGACGCAUCCCGGAUCAUCCCUUCCCUGGACAGCGGUAGAAGCCAAAGGGAGUACGAUGUGCCUCCCAGACUCCGUGUCGCUAUCUGGCGCCUGUCCCGGCGGGGCACGCGGAGGGGAGAAGCCGCGAGGAGCUCCAGGGGAAGGCAGCUCACUUUAACCCAAGGUGAUGUUUGGAUUCCUGUGUUCCUGUCCCACCCUGCCACCCAAUUUCCGCGCCCCAGUCAGCUUGGCUCUUUUGUGGCUCAGAUCUGUCACCCCCUAAUGAAGUGGCUUUCUGGCUGCCGAGGAUUGAGAGCUGCUGCUGGGGAAUCUAAGUCACUAAUAGAAUGGAAAACACUGUGAAAUGCUCCGAGGUGCCAAGCUGGGCCCAACCCAGUGUGGUUCUAAAAGGCUAAUAAAAAUCCACCAAUUAA